CAGCCGCCGCGGGAAUACCAGCACCUCGAGUGGUCAGGAGGUUUAUUGGGCCUAAAGCAUCCGUAGCCGGUUGCAUAAGUUUUCGGUUAAAUCUAUGCGCUUAACGUAUAGGCCGCCGAAAAUACUGUGCAGCUAGGGAGUGGGAGAGGUACACGGUACUCGAUAGGAAGGGGUAAAAUCCUUUGAUCUAUUGAUGACCACCUGUGGCGAAGGCGGUGUACCAGAACACGUUCGACGGUGAGGGAUGAAAGCUGGGGGAGCAAACCGGAUUAGAGACCCCCGUAGUCCCUGUCUCUUAUAC
This 301-nucleotide ribosomal RNA is filed under the name uncultured bacterium. RNAcentral describes it as "partial 16S ribosomal RNA". It matches the Rfam family "Archaeal small subunit ribosomal RNA", at positions 459 to 760 of the family's 1478-position model. The record is from RNAcentral.